GUUGUAUAGUCAAGUAAUUAAGUGCAUGUGGUGGAUGCCUUGGCAGUCAGAGGCGAUGAAAGACGUGAUAGCCUGCGAAAAGCUCCGGGGAGGCGGCAAAUAUCCUUUGAUCCGGAGAUGUCUGAAUGGGGGAACCCACCUACUUUAAGGUAGGUAUUGCAACAUGAAUACAUAGUGUUGCAAGGCGAACGAGGGGAAGUGAAACAUCUCAGUACCCUUAGGAAAAGAAAUCAAUUGAGAUUCCCUCAGUAGCGGCGAGCGAACGGGGAUCAGCCCAUUAAGUUAUGUGUGUUUUAGUGGAACGCUCUGGGAAGUGCGAACGUAGAGGGUGAUAUUCCCGUACACGAAAGGGCACACAUAAUGAUGACGAGUAGGGCGAGGCACGUGAAACCUUGUCUGAAUAUGGGGGGACCAUCCUCCAAGGCUAAAUACUCCUGACUGACCGAUAGUGAACCAGUACCGUGAGGGAAAGGCGAAAAGAACCCCUGUGAGGGGAGUGAAAUAGAUCCUGAAACCGCAUGCAUACAAGCAGUGGGAGCACCUUCGUGGUGUGACUGCGUACCUUUUGUAUAAUGGGUCAGCGACUUAUAUUCAGUAGCAAGGUUAACCGUAUAGGGGAGCCGUAGAGAAAUCGAGUCUUAAUAGGGCGUUUAGUUGCUGGGUAUAGACCCGAAACCAGGCGAUCUAUCCAUGAGCAGGUUGAAGGUUGGGUAACACUAACUGGAGGACCGAACCCACUGUCGUUGAAAAGCCAGGGGAUGACUUGUGGAUAGGGGUGAAAGGCUAAUCAAGCCUGGUGAUAGCUGGUUCUCCCCGAAAGCUAUUUAGGUAGCGCCUCGGACGAAUACCAUAGGGGGUAGAGCACUGUUUCGGCUAGGGGGUCAUCCCGACUUACCAAACCGAUGCAAACUCCGAAUACCUAUGAGUACUAUCCGGGAGACAGACUGCGGGUGCUAACGUCCGUAGUCAAGAGGAAAACAAUCCAGACCGCCAGCUAAGGCCCCAAAAUCAUAGUUAAGUGGGAAACGAUGUGGGAAGGCAUAGACAGCUAGGAGGUUGGCUUAGAAGCAGCCACCCUUUAAAGAAAGCGUAAUAGCUCACUAGUCGAGUCGGCCUGCGCGGAAGAUGUAACGGGGCUAAAACUAUGUGCCGAAGCUGCGGAUNNNNNNNNNNNNNNNNNNNNNNUGCUGGAGGUAUCAGAAGUGCGAAUGCUGACGUGAGUAACGACAAAACGGGUGAAAAACCCGUUCGCCGAAAGACCAAGGGUUCCAGUCCAACGUUAAUCGGGGCUGGGUGAGUCGACCCCUAAGGCGAGGCCGAAAGGCGUAGUCGAUGGGAAAAUGGUUAAUAUUCCAUUACUUCUGUGUAAUGCGAUGAGAGGACGGAGAAGGCUAAAUCAGCCUGGCGUUGGUUGUCCAGGUGAAAGGAUGUAGGCAUGUAUCUUAGGCAAAUCCGGGGUACUCUAUGCUGAGAUCUGAUAGCAAGCUGUACUUGUACAGCGAAGUGGUUGAUGCCAUGCUUCCAGGAAAAGUCUCUAAGCUUCAGUUACACAGGAAUCGUACCCGAAACCGACACAGGUGGUCAGGUCGAGUAGACCAAGGCGCUUGAGAGAACUCUGCUGAAGGAACUAGGCAAAAUGGUACCGUAACUUCGGGAGAAGGUACGCUGUUGUUGGUGAUGGAACUCGCUUCCUGAGCUGACGACAGCCGCAGAAACCAGGCCGCUGCAACUGUUUAUUAAAAACAUAGCACUCUGCAAACACGAAAGUGGACGUAUAGGGUGUGAUGCCUGCCCGGUGCUGGAAGGUUAAUUGAUGGGGUUAGCGUAAGCGAAGCUCUUGAUCGAAGCCCCAGUAAACGGCGGCCGUAACUAUAACGGUCCUAAGGUAGCGAAAUUCCUUGUCGGGUAAGUUCCGACCUGCACGAAUGGCAUAAUGAUGGCGGCGCUGUCUCCAGCAGAGGCUCAGUGAAAUCGAAAUCGCUGUGAAGAUGCAGUGUACCCGCGGCUAGACGGAAAGACCCCGUGAACCUUUACUGCAGCUUGACACUGAACUUUGACCUUACUUGUGUAGGAUAGGUGGGAGGCUUUGAAGCUGGAACGCUAGUUCCAGUGGAGCCGUCCUUGAAAUACCACCCUGGUAAUGUUGAGGUUCUAACUCUGUCCCGUGAUCCGGGACGAGGACCGUGUCUGGUGGGUAGUUUGACUGGGGCGGUCUCCUCCUAAAGAGUAACGGAGGAGUACGAAGGUGCGCUCAGCGUGGUCGGAAAUCACGCGUAGAGUAUAAAGGCAAAAGCGCGCUUAACUGCGAGACCCACAAGUCGAGCAGGUACGAAAGUAGGUCUUAGUGAUCCGGUGGUUCUGUAUGGAAGGGCCAUCGCUCAACGGAUAAAAGGUACUCUGGGGAUAACAGGCUGAUACCGCCCAAGAGUUCAUAUCGACGGCGGUGUUUGGCACCUCGAUGUCGGCUCAUCUCAUCCUGGGGCUGAAGCAGGUCCCAAGGGUAUGGCUGUUCGCCAUUUAAAGAGGUACGCGAGCUGGGUUUAGAACGUCGUGAGACAGUUCGGUCCCUAUCUACCGUGGGCGCUGGAAAUUUGAGAGGAUCUGCUCCUAGUACGAGAGGACCAGAGUGGACGAACCUCUGGUGUACCGGUUGUGACGCCAGUCGCAUCGCCGGGUAGCUAUGUUCGGAAGGGAUAACCGCUGAAAGCAUCUAAGCGGGAAGCCUACCUCAAGAUAAGAUUUCCCUAGGACUUUAUGUCCUCUAAAGAGCCGUUCGAGACUAGGACGUUGAUAGGUUGGAUGUGGAAGCAUAGUGAUAUGUGAAGCUGACCAAUACUAAUUGCUCGUGAGGCUUGACUAUACAACACCCAAGCAGUUG
RNAcentral lists this ribosomal RNA (2878 nucleotides) under Acinetobacter baumannii. RNAcentral's name for it is "bacterial LSU rRNA". It matches the Rfam family "Bacterial large subunit ribosomal RNA". The record is from RNAcentral. Lineage: Bacteria; Pseudomonadati; Pseudomonadota; Gammaproteobacteria; Moraxellales; Moraxellaceae.